CUCACCAGCUAGCGGAAUGGUGCAUGUCAUAUCUCUGUGUGAACUACAACAGCACCUGCAAGCUUUCGCCGCGAAGUUUGAAGAGUCUGCAUCCGGACAAUCAGGAUUAUUUGCGAGAGCACCGAUAGCCACCGGUGUGAAGGACUACGACUACUACCAACAAUGUAUGAACGAGCUCAACAAUGGGAAGAAAGACUGCACGGCAGACGACAAGGGUUGUCUCUGCUUUUCCGAAGGGAAAUCAAAACAAUCGGCCGCGGCAGCCAAAUCGACCAUGCAGAAGGCAAUUACCUAGUUAGCUCGGAGCACCAAUCGGACAUGGUUAGCACCAGUCUGUUCGAGUCGAAUGCCAACUUGGUGAACCAGUUUAAUCCGGAACACGACGGUGCGGAUCUCUGACAUUUGGCCUACGGAUCGUGGAAGUCGCUUCGUUUCAUUGUGAUUCUGCCAGUGCUGAUUUGUUUCAUCUGCACCAUCCUGAGCAUUCUGAUCAUUUUCCAGAUCUACAACUAAUAUUUGCUGCAAGGCGAAUCCGCUAUCAAAUUGGUUUUAUUUGCCACGGCUUCUAAACCUGGUAGAGUGCCGGCAGGUGAUUUAGGAUGUCACGGAACGAAACCAGUGGGAAAGUUGAACACUGCUUGAGGUCAUUGGAUGCUCACCAGCUAGCGGAAUUGUGCAUGUCGUAUCUCUGUGUGAACUACAACAGCACCUGCAAGCUUUCGCCGCGAAGUUUGAAGAGUCUGCAUCCGGACAAUCAGGAUUAUUUGCGAGAGCACCGAUAGCCACCGGUGUGAAUUCUGAAGGACUACGACUACUACCAACGAUGUAUGAACGAGCUCAACAAUGGGAAGAAAGACUAGGCAGACGACAAGGGUUGUCUCUGCUUUUCCGGAGGGAAAUCAAAACAAUCGGCCGCGGCAGCCAAAUCGACCAUGCAGACGGCAAUUACCUAGUUAGCUCGGAGCACCAAUCGGACAUGGUUAGCACCAGUCUGUUCGAGUCAAAUGCCAACUCGGUGAACCAGUUCGAUCUGGAACACGACGGUGCGGAUCUCUGACAUUUGGCCUACGGAUCGUGGAAGUCGCUUUGUUUCAUUGUGAUUCUGCCAGUUUCAUCUGCACCAUCCUGAGCAUUCUGAUCAUUUUCCAGAUCUACAACUAAUAUUUGCUGCAAGGCAAAUCCGCUAUCAAAUUGGUUUUAUUUUCAACGGCUUAGGACGAAUCUCGUCGCCCGGUUCUCUAGGCUUGCAACUCGCAAGCAUCUUUCGUCAAUCUAUAAUAGUACGGAGCGGAGACUACUCGUUGAUUCGAAAUUUGGAACCACAUCAAAACAACUUGCAAACCUGCACUCAAUAUUAGCCAGAAUACUACUGAAGAUAGCAGAUCUUCGAUUAGCUCGUCAUGCAUGUCAAGCAGACAUUUAUCCGGCUUUUUGUUUAGGGAAGCUGAAACAUUUCCAAGCUAAAUAUACUUUUAACAAUGAUAUAGUAAUACAGAUGAAAGUUAAGGUCACAUUCACUCACAGUACACUAAUAUGUACGUCUAGAAUUUGAGAAAGCAAACCUAAAAUUGUAGGUUACAUAAUUAGCUGUAAUAUUCCGAUGGGUUCCUUAGAACUAGAAACAAAAACAAGCUAGCCAAUUGUGAAGAAAAGUAUUUUACUCUCAGAAUUUAGAAUGUUUCAUUAUUUUUAUCUAGCUUUUUGAGCGCAUGGAGUGAUAAAAUUACA
Molecule: long non-coding RNA, 1728 nt
Organism: Armigeres subalbatus
Lineage: Eukaryota; Metazoa; Arthropoda; Insecta; Diptera; Culicidae
Exons: 3
Source: RefSeq, a predicted model, not a curated record